RNAcentral lists this transfer RNA (74 nucleotides) under Candidatus Zhuqueibacterota bacterium. Its description in RNAcentral is "candidate division KSB1 bacterium (aquatic metagenome) tRNA-Arg". It matches the Rfam family "tRNA". From Rfam's summary of the family: Transfer RNA (tRNA) molecules are approximately 80 nucleotides in length. Lineage: Bacteria; Pseudomonadati. RNAcentral also lists the same sequence under 1 other name. The record is from RNAcentral.
GCGCCCGUAGCUCAAUUGGAUAGAGCAUCUGACUUCGGAUCAGAGGGUUUGGGGUUCGAGUCCCUUCGGGCGUA